ACGUUGAUAGGCCGGGUGUGUAAGCGCAGCGAUGCGUUGAGCUAACCGGUACUAAUGAACCGUGAGGCUUAACCUUACAACGCCGAAGAUGUUG
This 94-nucleotide ribosomal RNA is filed under the name Salmonella enterica subsp. enterica serovar Paratyphi B var. L(+) tartrate +. RNAcentral's name for it is "Salmonella enterica subsp. enterica serovar Java partial 23S ribosomal RNA". The stretch from base 1 to 76 matches the Rfam family "Bacterial large subunit ribosomal RNA", at positions 2850 to 2925 of the family's 2925-position model. Lineage: Bacteria; Pseudomonadati; Pseudomonadota; Gammaproteobacteria; Enterobacterales; Enterobacteriaceae. The record is from RNAcentral.